RNAcentral lists this non-coding RNA (31 nucleotides) under Mus musculus (house mouse). The record is from RNAcentral. Lineage: Eukaryota; Metazoa; Chordata; Mammalia; Rodentia; Muridae.
UAGAAAAUGGUUCACCUAUUUUCCACAGCCU